GGGGCAUUGUGACAUAUCUCUGGGCCCAUCAACUGCUUCAUUUGACUCUCCUCUCCUACCCAUGCUUUGUCAAUAGGAGAGAUUGUGACAUAUCUCUGGAACCAGAACCUUAGUGAUGUGACGCUUCUCUCCUGCUGAAGCCAUGCCCACACAAGGGAAAGUGACUUAUCACUGGGCCCAGCACACAGGUCUUUUCCCACAGGGAGCAUUGUGAAACAUCACUGGGCUCAGCCACCAGGUUAUGUGACUCUUCUGCCUGUGCCCUGCUUCCAGAAAAUAUUGUGACAUUCCUCAUACAGCAUCCAGGUGAUGUGACUCUUCUGCUCAUUUUCUACUUACAGGAUGCGUAUGCCAUAUUUCUGGACCCAUCACCUAGAUGAUGGGACUCUCCUCUUCUUUCUGGGACCAGUACGCAGUGGGAAUUGUGAUGCAUCGUUUAGCUCAGCAGCUACAUGUUGUGACUCUCUUCUCAUGAGAACCCUCCCACUUGGAUAAUUGCAACAUAUAAUGUAGCCUAGUUUCUAGGAUACCUGACUCUUCUCUUUUUCCUGAGACUUACACAGAAUCGGCAACAUCUCUGGGCUUCUG
Molecule: long non-coding RNA, 588 nt
Filed under: Homo sapiens (human)
Lineage: Eukaryota; Metazoa; Chordata; Mammalia; Primates; Hominidae
Description: non-protein coding LINC01859:13
Source: RNAcentral